UACGGAGGGAGCUAGCGUUGUUCGGAAUUACUGGGCGUAAAGCGCACGUAGGCGGCUUUGUAAGUCAGGGGUGAAAUCCUGGAGCUCAACUCCAGAACUGCCCUUGAUACUGAGAAGCUUGAGUCCGGGAGAGGUGAGUGGAACUGCGAGUGUAGAGGUGAAAUUCGUAGAUAUUCGCAAGAACACCAGUGGCGAAGGCGGCUCACUGGCCCGGUACUGACGCUGAGGUGCGAAAGCGUGGGGAGCAAACAGG
This 253-nucleotide ribosomal RNA is filed under the name uncultured bacterium. Its description in RNAcentral is "partial 16S ribosomal RNA". It matches the Rfam family "Bacterial small subunit ribosomal RNA", at positions 524 to 776 of the family's 1533-position model. The record is from RNAcentral.